This 234-nucleotide ribosomal RNA is filed under the name uncultured bacterium. RNAcentral describes it as "partial 16S ribosomal RNA". It matches the Rfam family "Bacterial small subunit ribosomal RNA", at positions 524 to 755 of the family's 1533-position model. The record is from RNAcentral.
UACGUAGGGGGCUAGCGUUGUCCGGAUUUAUUGGGCGUAAAGAGCGUGUAGGCGGCCAUGUAGGUCCGGUGUGAAAACUCGAGGCUUAACCUCGAGAUGUCAUCGGAAACCAUUUGGCUAGAGUCCGGAAGAGGAGAGUGGAAUUCCGUGGUGUAGCGGUGAAAUGCGCAGAUAUCAGGAAGAACACCAAUGGCGAAAGCAGCUCUCUGGGAACGGUACUGACGCUGAGACGCG